UUUGAGUGGGGGGUCCCUCAGCCCGGAUCUCGAGAGGGCGCAAGCCAGGCCAAGGGACCCCACCGGUGCACG
RNAcentral lists this microRNA precursor (72 nucleotides) under Myotis brandtii (Brandt's bat). Its description in RNAcentral is "mir-9193 microRNA precursor family". It matches the Rfam family "mir-9193 microRNA precursor family". Lineage: Eukaryota; Metazoa; Chordata; Mammalia; Chiroptera; Vespertilionidae. The record is from Rfam by way of RNAcentral.